RNAcentral lists this long non-coding RNA (205 nucleotides) under Nicotiana benthamiana. RNAcentral describes it as "long non-coding RNA (NBEN_LNC039122)". Lineage: Eukaryota; Viridiplantae; Streptophyta; Magnoliopsida; Solanales; Solanaceae. The record is from RNAcentral.
GAAAAAGGAAUUACUGCAGGUAAUGAAAAUCAAGCUCAAGAAAUUUAGGACACAAGCAAAUCUCAAGAGUCGACUGACAUAUCUACUGCGACAAAGUCAACUGGUGAAAACAACAGUAAUGUACUAGAUCAACCAACCGAGUCGACUACCAAUGUAGCGCGUCCAACCGAAUGGAGAAACGAGCUUGAAUAUCCUCAAAAGUUCA